Molecule: unclassified non-coding RNA, 21 nt
Filed under: Dictyostelium discoideum
Lineage: Eukaryota; Evosea; Eumycetozoa; Dictyosteliales; Dictyosteliaceae
Source: RNAcentral
GAUUGAGUCAAUAGUAAUAAU